This 495-nucleotide long non-coding RNA is filed under the name Gallus gallus (chicken). RNAcentral describes it as "long non-coding RNA NONGGAT002925". Lineage: Eukaryota; Metazoa; Chordata; Aves; Galliformes; Phasianidae. The record is from RNAcentral.
UCUUUCAAAUCUGUUUUGAUACGUUUUCACUUCAUGAUGCAGAGUACGGUCGCUCUCAGGAGGUUGCAGAAAAAGGACAUAAAACCAUAAUAAGUUUUCAGAGAGGAUAUCAGCAUACCAUCUGAAGGUUAUCCCACUGUGGUUCAUUCAGCUCAGGGUUGGAAGGACUAAAGGAUCGCAUUGAUUUGCAUGAUGUUUAAGGCUGAACACGUGAAACCAGCUUCUCAUCUGGACAUUAUUUCUCCCUGACUUUAUGAAACAUGACAUCUUCUGAAAGCUCCAUCUGAUCAAUUGUAAAAAUUCAGGAAAUUCCUAUUAUUGGUGUGGGAGAGUACCACUAUUCUGCGAAAACAGUAGAAAGCAACAUGGAAAAAUGGGGUAGCAGCAGUAAUUUAGAUAUCACUGUAUUCGUAGAUGAAGUAAUUGGGUGCUAGCACUCAUUUGUGUCCGUGGCAUACCAAUACCUUUGUCUCCUCUCUAAGAAUUAAAGUUAUC